GGGGUGGGGGGGCAGGGAGCGUCUGUUUGGCUAAACCUUGAUUUGAAAAAUACCACUUAUAAUUUUAGAAUUGUGUUUUGAAGAUCCUUAGUCAUUUGUAGUAUGGAUCCACUGGAACUGCGCUCCUGUGAGAACGUAGGGGAGUAAAGGCAGCAUCGGGCUUUUCCACGCGGCAUGUAAAACAGCACAGGAAGACGGACGCUCUCACCUCUGCCAGACCCCUUCAAAGCCAGGCUCACCUUGUGCCACCCUUAGCAGGGAUCAGCUUCUGUGAAAUGUGACAAGACCCCUGCGGUCACCCCCUGUGCGCUGGGGGAGGGCACGUUUCCCGCCAGUCUUCCCGAUGCUGAGGUCUUUGUGGGAUUCUUCCAUGAAACGUUCGGGAAAACGUCAGGCAGUGUUAUACAGGAAGGACGAUGCCGCUGAGCUGACAGAACUGCAGUAGCCACCGCACAUCCCAGUCUGCACCAAAUGGACUGCACCCUAACGACAGGCAGAUCACUGUGAGCAUAUCACGGCUAUCAAACAACAUUCCAGGACUGAAGCAAAGCGUUCUGAGUAGUGCAGGACACAUGGCAAUUGUGGGACUUAACCUGAGGUUUCCCAUCUCACCAGGCUGUAAGGACUCUGCUGUAGAUGACGUUGUGGUUCCCAGCUGUCAGGUCCCUCUCUGCUGAGAAGACUACACAGCAGCAUCUUCCACCAGCGCCUUGCAGGACCUCCGCUCAGCGGAAUAUUCCUCCCCUCCUAGCGUCGGCUGGAUGCGGCAAAACACCGAAAAGCUGCUCAGCACCAUUAGUCUCAGGGAAAGGAAAACUAACUCAUAACAACACACCUUUCACACCCACUAACUGGAUACAGUGAAGACGACGGACAAGGCACAAUGUUGGGAGGACAUGGAGUACGUGGAGCUGUCACACACUUCUGGGAGGAGCACAGCAGCCAUGCUGCUGAAGGGUUCGGCAAUUGCUUUGGAAAGUUAGCGUGCACCCUGCCUUCCAGACACCAAUUCCAUUCCUAGAUGUCGACCCAGGAGAAAUGAACGCACGUCUGCAAAAAGACUUGUACAGAAUAUUCAAAGUAAAUUUACUCUAAAUGGUCAAAAACUUGAAAUGCAAAUUUCAUCAACAAGAGAAUGACUAACCUCGUUGAGAGACAUUCAUACAAUUCAUACAAUACUACUCAGUCAUUAAAGGAAACAGGAUGCUGAUACCUGCGGCAGCAUGCACAGGUCGCACAGCCAUAUGCUGGACAGAAGAUGACAGACAGAAAAAACUUCAUA
Long non-coding RNA from Galeopterus variegatus (Sunda flying lemur), 1282 nucleotides. RefSeq lists it as uncharacterized. The record is from RefSeq and is a predicted model, not a curated record. The transcript has 4 exons. NCBI's taxonomy places the organism in Eukaryota, Metazoa, Chordata, Mammalia, Dermoptera, Cynocephalidae.